Molecule: long non-coding RNA, 477 nt
Organism: Oncorhynchus tshawytscha (Chinook salmon)
Lineage: Eukaryota; Metazoa; Chordata; Actinopteri; Salmoniformes; Salmonidae
Source: Ensembl
GGGUGAGAGGUAUAGUAUCUCUGAUAUACAGGGGGUGAGAGGUAUAGUAUCUCUGAUAUACAGGGGUGAGAGGUAUACUAUCUCUGAUAUACAGGUGGUGAGAGGUAUAGUAUCUCUGAUAUACAGGGGGUGAGAGGUAUACUAUCUCUGAUAUACAGGGGGUGAGAGGUAUAGUAUCUCUGAUAUAGAGGGGGUGAGAGGUAUAGUAUCUCUGAUAUAUAUGGUGAGAGGUAUAGUAUCUCUGAGAAACAGGGGGUGUGAGUUAUAGUAUCUCUGAUCUAUAUGGUGAGAGGUAUCGUAUCUCUGAUAUACAGGGGGUGAGAGGUAUAGUAUCUCUGAUAUACAGGGGGUGAGAGGUAUAGUAUCUCUGAUAUACAGGGGUGAGAGGUAUACUAUCUCUGAUAUACAGGUGGUGAGAGGUAUAGUAUCUCUGAUAUACAGGUGGUGAGAUGUAUAGUAUCUCUGAUAUACAGGGGG